GACGAACGCUGGCGGCGUGCUUAACACAUGCAAGUCGAACGGAAAGGCCCUGCUUUUGUGGGGUGCUCGAGUGGCGAACGGGUGAGUAACACGUGAGUAACCUGCCCUUGACUUUGGGAUAACUUCAGGAAACUGGGGCUAAUACCGGAUAGGAGCUCCUGCUGCAUGGUGGGGGUUGGAAAGUUUCGGCGGUUGGGGAUGGACUCGCGGCUUAUCAGCUUGUUGGUGGGGUAGUGGCUUACCAAGGCUUUGACGGGUAGCCGGCCUGAGAGGAUGGCCAGCCACACUGGAACUGAGACACGGUCCAG
RNAcentral lists this ribosomal RNA (308 nucleotides) under uncultured bacterium. RNAcentral's name for it is "bacterial SSU rRNA". It matches the Rfam family "Bacterial small subunit ribosomal RNA", at positions 28 to 334 of the family's 1533-position model. The record is from RNAcentral.